GCGGCUUUAGCUCACUUGGGAGAGCGCCAGACUGAAGCGUACUUCAUCACAACUAUCUGGAGGCACUGUGUUCGAUCCACAGAAGCCGCA
RNAcentral lists this transfer RNA (90 nucleotides) under Blumeria hordei DH14. RNAcentral describes it as "tRNA-Phe for anticodon GAA". It matches the Rfam family "tRNA". Rfam says of the family: Transfer RNA (tRNA) molecules are approximately 80 nucleotides in length. Their secondary structure includes four short double-helical elements and three loops (D, anti-codon, and T loops). The record is from RNAcentral. Lineage: Eukaryota; Fungi; Ascomycota; Leotiomycetes; Helotiales; Erysiphaceae.